CCUGGCUCAGAACGAACGCUGGCGGCGUGCUUAACACAUGCAAGUCGGAUGCGAACGGCGCUUUCGGGCGUUGAGUAGCAUGGCAGACGGGUGAGGAGCGCGUAUCUGACUGGACCCAGGCUGGGGGAUAGUCCCUCGAAAGGGGGUUGAAUACCGCAUGUGCUCGGUGCUGUGAGGGCAUCGAGGAAAGUUGGCCUCUGCGGGCACGCUGAUGGCCUGAGACAGGGAUGCGUCCUAUUAGCUAGCUGGUGGGGUAAGGGCCUACCAGGGCGACGAUGGGUAGCUGGUCUGAGAGGAUGAUCAGCCACACUGGGACUGCGACACGGCCCAGACUCCUACGGGAGGCAGCAGUGGGGAAUUUUGCGCAAUGGGCGCAAGCCUGACGCAGCAACGCCGCGUGCAUGACGACGCCUUUCGAGGUGUAAAGUGCUGUCGACCGGGACGAAGGGGCGAGGGUGAACAGCUUUCGCGCAUGACGGUACCGGUGGAGGAAGCCCCGGCUAACUCCGUGCCAGCAGCCGCGGUAAGACGGAGGGGGCGAGCGUUGUUCGGAAUUACUGGGCGUAAAGCGCGCGUAGGCGGUGCAGCAAGUGGUGCGUGAAAGCCCUCGGCUUAACCGGGGACGGGCGUGCCAAACUGUUGGACUGGAGUGCCGGAGGGGGAGGCGGAAUUCCUGGUGGAGCGGUGAAAUGCGUAGAGAUCAGGAAGAACGUCGGUGGCGAAGGCGGCCUCCUGGACGGACACUGACGCUGAGGUGCGACAGCGUGGGGAGCGAACGGGAUUAGAUACCCCGGUAGUCCACGCCGUAAACGAUGGGUACUAGGUGUGGGGCUUGUGAUGAGGCCCGUGCCGGAGCUAACGCAGUAAGUACCCCG
RNAcentral lists this ribosomal RNA (875 nucleotides) under uncultured organism. Its description in RNAcentral is "bacterial SSU rRNA". It matches the Rfam family "Bacterial small subunit ribosomal RNA", at positions 18 to 871 of the family's 1533-position model. The record is from RNAcentral.